RNAcentral lists this long non-coding RNA (1060 nucleotides) under Oryctolagus cuniculus (rabbit). Its description in RNAcentral is "lncRNA (ENSOCUG00000038261.1)". Lineage: Eukaryota; Metazoa; Chordata; Mammalia; Lagomorpha; Leporidae. The record is from RNAcentral.
AAAAUGACUGGAGGCCAUGAUGUUUGAACUUUUCCAUUGUCGGAUCUGCUGAGAAUUCAAGCAGGGCUGACCCCUGGAGAUUUCUCUCUUCAGCUCCUGAGAUGGAAAGAAUGAAAGUCUGAAUCUUAUUAACCAGAUCCACAGGACUUGGACUGAAAGAAAUAUGAAAACACAAUUUCACGUUCAAGCCUGGGAAGGAAAAAUAACUUCAGAGUGAACCAGAUGUACUUUGGAAUUCCUUGAGCGGCCGCACAGCAAGACCUAGGCAGCAUGUGAAUGUGUGACUGAGAGUGUGUGUGAGCAUGAGGGAGAGUGUGUGAUUAUGUGUGUGUGAUUGUGUGCAUGAGUGAGAGAGAGUGUGUGUGUGUGUGUGUAUGUGUGAAUUGUGUGUGAAUGAGAGUGUGUGGUUGUGAGUGGUGUGUUUUAGUGGUGUUUGUGAGUGGGUGUGCGAGAGUGGUGUAUGUAUGUGUGUGAUAUGUGCAUUCAUGAGAGCAUGUGUGAGUGUGUGAGAAUGUGGGAGUGAGUGUACAUGUGUGUGAGAGUGGUGUGUGUGAUUCUAUGCAUAUUUGUGAGAAUGUGUGUGUGUGUGUGAGCGUUUGUAAAAGUGAGUUAAGCAUAGAGAUGUGUGACCUUUUGUGAGUGAAUGCGUGUGUGCAUGUGGUCAUCUGGAUGGAAAACUGGUUCUAAAAUUUUCACAAGGUCCUUUUUUAUUACCAAACUGACCAAAAAGUGUUAAAUGACCUUUGAAGAUGGAGCUUCCUUUUUACAGAAUGGGUCAUUCUGUGACAUGUUUCCUCGCCUUGGUCCCUGCCAGGAGAGGAUCUUCCUUUAUCUCUGUCUAAUUAAAAUGACUUGCGAGCAUUUUCCUACAAGCAAAGGCUCUGUCUUCCCUCAUCGAGCGAUUCAAGCCUCCCCAUCAGAAGCAGCAGAAGAAUUCCCGGCAGCUUUCAAGUGCCAGGCACAUGUUUCUGGCUGUCAAGCUUUCCAAAUGUGUGCAGGCAGUUGCGGCUGGAGCACCCUCGAUCACACCCACCACCCUCUCCCUCUCCGGUGUCUUUAG